GUGAACAGGAAGGCCGUGGCGUCCCUGACCAUGCUUGUCUGUUCUACUGUCUGGAACAAAAGAAAUGCACGGGUCUUCUGCAACAAGAGCACUCCGCCAACCAUCCUUCUUAACUUCAUCAAGAAAGAGGCUAGCCUUUGGGUUUCCGCGUGUGCAAAAAAAUUGGGUCACAUAUUGCUGGGAGAUCCUUCUUUUGUGUGUGGGUGCUAUAACAAACUCUAUAUUCCUCUAUUAACUAAUAUAUGA
RNAcentral lists this ribosomal RNA (246 nucleotides) under Triticum aestivum (bread wheat). Its description in RNAcentral is "partial small subunit ribosomal RNA". Lineage: Eukaryota; Viridiplantae; Streptophyta; Magnoliopsida; Poales; Poaceae. The record is from RNAcentral.